RNAcentral lists this ribosomal RNA (464 nucleotides) under Vreelandella stevensii. RNAcentral's name for it is "partial 16S ribosomal RNA". It matches the Rfam family "Bacterial small subunit ribosomal RNA", at positions 338 to 795 of the family's 1533-position model. Lineage: Bacteria; Pseudomonadati; Pseudomonadota; Gammaproteobacteria; Oceanospirillales; Halomonadaceae. The record is from RNAcentral.
CCUACGGGUGGCUGCAGUGGGGAAUAUUGGACAAUGGGCGAAAGCCUGAUCCAGCCAUGCCGCGUGUGUGAAGAAGGCCUUCGGGUUGUAAAGCACUUUCAGUGGGGAAGAAAGCCUUGGGGCUAAUACCCUCGAGGAAGGACAUCACCCACAGAAGAAGCACCGGCUAACUCCGUGCCAGCAGCCGCGGUAAUACGGAGGGUGCGAGCGUUAAUCGGAAUUACUGGGCGUAAAGCGCGCGUAGGCGGUCUGAUAAGCCGGUUGUGAAAGCCCCGGGCUCAACCUGGGAACGGCAUCCGGAACUGUCAGGCUAGAGUGCAGGAGAGGAAGGUAGAAUUCCCGGUGUAGCGGUGAAAUGCGUAGAGAUCGGGAGGAAUACCAGUGGCGAAGGCGGCCUUCUGGACUGACACUGACGCUGAGGUGCGAAAGCGUGGGUAGCAAACAGGAUUAGAUACCUUGUAGUC